ACGGCGACCGGCGCACGGGUGAGUAACACGUAUGCGACCUGCCCGUAGCAGGGGGAUAAGCGGAAGAAAUUCCGUCUAAUACCGCGUAAUAUCUUUCGGGGGCAUCCCUGAGGGAUUAAAGGAGGCGAUUCCGGCUACGGAUGGGCAUGCGGCGCAUUAGCUAGUCGGCGGGGUAACGGCCCACCGAGGCGACGAUGCGUAGGGGUUCUGAGAGGAAGGUCCCCCACACUGGUACUGAGACGCGGACCAGACUCCUACGGAAGGCAGCAG
RNAcentral lists this ribosomal RNA (270 nucleotides) under uncultured bacterium. RNAcentral describes it as "partial 16S ribosomal RNA". It matches the Rfam family "Bacterial small subunit ribosomal RNA", at positions 88 to 354 of the family's 1533-position model. The record is from RNAcentral.